GCCCAGACUCCUACGGGAGGCAGCAGUGAGGAAUAUUGGUCAAUGGGCGAGAGCCUGAACCAGCCAAGUCGCGUGAGGGAGGACGGCCCUACGGGUUGUAAACCUCUUUUGCCGGGGGACAAACGGCGGCACGCGUGCCGUCCUGAGGGUACCCGGAGAAAAAGCAUCGGCUAACUCCGUGCCAGCAGCCGCGGUAAUACGGAGGAUGCGAGCGUUAUCCGGAUUUAUUGGGUCUAAAGGGUGCGUAGGCGGUCCGUUAAGUCAGCGGUAAAAUUGCGGGGCUCAACCCCGUCGAGCCGUUGAAACUGGCAGACUUGAGUUGGCGAGAAGUACGCGGAAUGCGCGGUGUAGCGGUGAAAUGCAUAGAUAUCGCGCAGAACUCCGAUUGCGAAGGCAGCGUACCGGCGCCAGACUGACGCUGAGGCACGAAAGCGUGGGGAUCGAACAGGAUUAGAUACCCCCGUA
This 465-nucleotide ribosomal RNA is filed under the name uncultured bacterium. RNAcentral describes it as "bacterial SSU rRNA". It matches the Rfam family "Bacterial small subunit ribosomal RNA", at positions 329 to 792 of the family's 1533-position model. The record is from RNAcentral.